UCCGGUUUGUCACCGGCAGUCUCAUUAGAGUGCCCUUGCGUAGCAACUAAUGAUAAGGGUUGCGCUCGUUGCGGGACUUAACCCAACAUCUCACGACACGAGCUGACGACAGCCAUGCACCACCUGUGAAGGUGUCCCGAAGGAAAACCAUGUUUCCAUGGCGGUCACCUACAUGUCGAACCCAGGUAAGGUUCUUCGCGUUGCGUCGAAUUGAACCACAUGCUCCGCUGCUUGUGCGGACCCCCGUCAAUUCCUUUGAGUUUCACCGUUGCCGGCGUACUCCCCAGGUGGAUGACUUAACGAUUUCUCUCUGCCGCUGGCCGUGUAUCGCCAACAGCGAGUCAUCAACGUUUACAGUGUGGACUAC
This 367-nucleotide unclassified non-coding RNA is filed under the name uncultured bacterium. Its description in RNAcentral is "contains 16S-23S intergenic spacer region". The record is from RNAcentral.